GACGUAGGGGGCCAGCGUUGUUCGGAAUUACUGGGUGUAAAGGGUUCGUAGGCGGUGUGGCAAGUCGGGAGUGAAACCUCUGGGCUCAACCCAGAGUCUGCUUCCGAAACUGCUGUGCUUGAGUGUGGGAGAGGCGCGUGGAAUUGCAGGUGUAGCGGUGAAAUGCGUAGAUAUCUGCAGGAACACCCGUGGCGAAAGCGGCGCGCUGGGCAGUGGCUGACGCUGAGGCGCGACAGCGUGGGGAGCAAACAGG
This 253-nucleotide ribosomal RNA is filed under the name uncultured bacterium. Its description in RNAcentral is "partial 16S ribosomal RNA". It matches the Rfam family "Bacterial small subunit ribosomal RNA", at positions 524 to 776 of the family's 1533-position model. The record is from RNAcentral.